RNAcentral lists this ribosomal RNA (440 nucleotides) under uncultured bacterium. RNAcentral's name for it is "partial 16S ribosomal RNA". It matches the Rfam family "Bacterial small subunit ribosomal RNA", at positions 338 to 795 of the family's 1533-position model. The record is from RNAcentral.
CCUACGGGAAGCAGCAGUGGGGGAUAUUGCACAAUGGGGGGAACCCUGAUGCAGCGACGCCGCGUGGGUGAAGAAGCGCCUCGGCGCGUAAAGCCCUGUCAGCAGGGAAGAAAAUGACGGUACCUGAAGAAGAAGCCCCGGCUAACUACGUGCCAGCAGCCGCGGUAAUACGUAGGGGGCAAGCGUUAUCCGGAUUUACUGGGUGGAAAGGGGGCGCAGACGGCGAUGCAAGCCAGGAGUGAAAGCCCGGGGCCCAUCCCCGGGACUGCGCUUGGAACUGCGUGGCUGGAGUGCAGGAGGGGCAGGCGCACUUCCUGGUGUAGCGGUGAAAUGCGUCGAUAUCAGGAGGAACACCGGUGGCGAAGGCGGCCUGCUGGACUGCAACUGACGUUGAGGCCCGAAAGCGUGGGGAGCAAACAGGAUUAGAUACCCCUGUAGUC